ACGCACGCUGGCGGCGUGCUUAACCCCUGCCAGUCGAACGGAAAGGCCCUGCUUUUGUGGGGUGCUCGAGUGGCGAACGGGUGAGUAACACGUGAGUAACCUGCCCUUGACUUUGGGAUAACUUCAGGAAACUGGGGCUAAUACCGGAUAGGAGCUCCUGCUGCAUGGUGGGGGUUGGAAAGUUUCGGCGGUUGGGGAUGGACUCGCGGCUUAUCAGCUUGUUGGUGGGGUAGUGGCUUACCAAGGCUUUGACGGGUAGCCGGCCUGAGAGGGUGACCGGCCACAUUGGGACUGAGAUGCGGCCCAGACUCCUACGGGAGGCAGCGGUGGGGAAUAUUGCACAAUGGGCGGAGGCCUGAUGCAGCAACGCCGCGUGCGGGAUGACGGCCUUCGGGUUGUAAACCGCUUUCGCCUGUGACGAAGCGUGAGUGACGGUAAUGGGUAAAGAAGCACCGGCUAACUACGUG
RNAcentral lists this ribosomal RNA (467 nucleotides) under uncultured bacterium. Its description in RNAcentral is "partial 16S ribosomal RNA". It matches the Rfam family "Bacterial small subunit ribosomal RNA", at positions 29 to 507 of the family's 1533-position model. The record is from RNAcentral.